AGCCGCGGUAAUUCCAGCUCCAAUAGCGUAUAUUAAAGUUGUUGCAGUUAAAAAGCUCGUAGUUGAAUUUCGGGGUCAGUAGGUUGGUCAUGCCACUGGUAUGUACUGGUCUCACUGAUUCCUCCUUCCUGAUGAGCCGUAAUGCCAUUAAUUUGGUGUUGCGAGGAAUCUGGACUGUUACUUUGAAAAAAUUAGAGUGUUUAAAGCAGGCUAACGCUUGAAUACAUUAGCAUGGAAUAAUGAAAUAGGACGUUCGAUCUUAUUUUGUUGGUUUCUAAGAUUGACGUAAUGAUUAAUAGGGAUAGUUGGGGGCAUUAGUAUUCAAUUGUCAGAGGUGAAAUUCUUGGAUUUAUUGAAGACUAACUACUGCGAAAGCAUUUGCCAAGGAUGUUUUCAUUAAUCAAGAACGAAAGUUAGGGGAUCGAAGACGAUCAGAUACCGUCGUAGUCUUAACCAUAAACUAUGCCGACUAGGGAUCGGAUGAUGUUAAUUUUUUAAUGACUCAUUCGGCGCCUUACG
RNAcentral lists this ribosomal RNA (519 nucleotides) under uncultured Glomus. RNAcentral describes it as "SSU rRNA". It matches the Rfam family "Eukaryotic small subunit ribosomal RNA", at positions 572 to 1092 of the family's 1831-position model. Lineage: Eukaryota; Fungi; Glomeromycota; Glomeromycetes; Glomerales; Glomeraceae. The record is from RNAcentral.